AAAUUUUACACAUCCUUAUCAUAAAAAAUUUCUUAUUCUCAUCAUGUUUACAAGUAUUAAGGCCUACUAAUUUAUAAUUAAAACAACUUGAAGCCCUACUAAUGUACUACAACUACUAAACUAUUACAACUACUUGCAACAAACAAAACAACAGUUGACGUCAGCUCCUUCACGCCAAAGUAGCAACAAUCCGACUCGCAACUAAUCCAACAGCAGUAGCAACGAUUCCUAUCUCAUUCACACCAUCUGCAUACAAAACAAGCAUAAUUAAACAACUCAUUCACUUAGUUAACAUCAAAUGCAUCCAUUCUGGUUCAAUCUAAGAAUUUAAUUUGUAUAUAGAGGCAAGCAUUCAAACUACAGUUACAGAGACUGCUGCGUAUUCACAUUUUUGUUACUAAAGAGAGACCAGGUUGAACUGAAACGAGAAAGAAGAGAUGGAGAUGGGAACCAAAAUAGUAGAAUCAGAGGUUACAUAGUUUAAGCCAACGAAUUCUACUAAUCAUCACAUCUGAAUCAUUCAUUCUUACUUGUAGUGGUCAGCUAAAAUGUUAGGCUCAAGUUACAUAAACACCAAUAUUCUUACUUGUAGUGGCAGUGGGAGAGUUGCUUCAUGAGCAGUAAUAUGCUUAUCGCUGAAUAAAUUAAGAGUAACAAAAUUCGAAACUAAAAUGCACAACACCAAUACAUUCCUACUCAAUCCUAGCUUUACCAAUAGAGAUUAACCAUUAUGUAUAAACAACACAUGAACAAGCAGAGAACAGCAAACUAACAAUAAGCAUAACAGAUGCAUGGAAGAGGCUGAUCAACAAGCAACAAACUGAACAACUAGCUCUACAGAGCAAAAUCACCUUGGUCCUUGGCGAAGGAGUGAAGUUUAAACUAGGAAGGAGGAAACUGGAACGGUUUUGAAGUUGGAGCAGGACCCUUUAUAUGGCUUUUCAAAGGAAGUAAUGGACAACCGCAAGCUUUUCUAACUCCAUCAUCAUCCACGAAACAGUAGUUAUAAACCUACAAUGACUAAAUCAUUUCACUACCUUAAAACUCAAAACGAAUGCGAAUUUUCAAACAAACAAACAAUGAAUCAAUACAUCAAAAUGCCAUGUCGAAGUCAAAUUGGCAAGCUGGAUUGAAAUUUGAGCAUUAGGAGAUUGAUUUCUCUUACCAUUUCUUGCUCUCAGAAGCCCAGAUAUAACUUGGGAUUGGAAAACUCCCAAGUCCAAAAACUCCGAUGAAGUCGUUGCUGCAUAUAAUCAGAAACGAUCCAAUUGAUUCAGAGAUGGGAACAAUGGAGAUAAGUGCAAGUUGGAUCUCAAGAGAAGGAAAGCAAAAGCUCACCGUAGCUUUUGCUUCUUCCAGGGAAUCUCUAGAUAGUGCAAACUUCAAUCCAGAUCGAGCACCGGAUGGUGUUCCCCGACCAAGCUUCAAGCGGGGAGAGCAAAUCUGGAAACCCGAGAGAGUAUAAUGUAUUGUUUUUUUCUCAACUUCAAUCAUGAUGGAAGUAAGAACUUUUCUCAAAACAACAUUUGUGU
This 1532-nucleotide long non-coding RNA is filed under the name Linum usitatissimum (flax). RNAcentral describes it as "long non-coding RNA (LUSI_LNC005131)". Lineage: Eukaryota; Viridiplantae; Streptophyta; Magnoliopsida; Malpighiales; Linaceae. The record is from RNAcentral.